RNAcentral lists this ribosomal RNA (128 nucleotides) under uncultured Acidobacteriota bacterium. RNAcentral's name for it is "uncultured Acidobacteria bacterium partial 16S ribosomal RNA". It matches the Rfam family "Bacterial small subunit ribosomal RNA", at positions 387 to 524 of the family's 1533-position model. Lineage: Bacteria; Pseudomonadati; Acidobacteriota. The record is from RNAcentral.
ACCAGCAACGCCGCGGGGAUGAUGAAGUAUCUCGGUACGUAAAAUCCUUUCGACAGGGGACGAAUCCGCAAGGUUGACGGUACCUGUAGAAGAAGCCCCGGCUAACUCCGUGCCAGCACCGCGGUAAU